AUCGCUUCUUGGCUUUUUGGCUAAGAUCAAGUGUAUUAUCUUUUUAUAAUUUCUCCAGGGAGAUUCUGGGACUUGGAAUCAAAAGGUAACUUUUCCAAGAUCUGAGUAAUAAUGAAUGUCUCAGUUAAAGCAAAUGACCUCUGGAGGCUUUCCUUUACUCUCAAAAUAGGAAAGACCAACUUUC
This is a small nuclear RNA of Sceloporus undulatus (fence lizard), 184 nucleotides long. RefSeq annotates it as U2 spliceosomal RNA. The record is from RefSeq and is a predicted model, not a curated record. The transcript has a single exon. NCBI's taxonomy places the organism in Eukaryota, Metazoa, Chordata, Lepidosauria, Squamata, Phrynosomatidae.